GCAGUCUGGAAAAGGGAAGGGUUAUAGGCAGAUGAGUUGGGACUUGAACUCGCAUUGGCAAAAAUGAUGUGCGGGUUUGAAAGGAGAUUGGAAUAAAAUUGAUCAGCUACAAAAACACGGUCGCCCACUGAUUUAUUGGUGGAGGAUCCACAAUCUAUCAAGUAGUUGUCUACAGGAUUAUAUCCUAAUGAAAGACAUAUCAAACAUAAUAUUGAAGAAACCCAGAAGAGUAAUCCAGAACUC
This 243-nucleotide unclassified non-coding RNA is filed under the name Hevea brasiliensis (rubber tree). The record is from RNAcentral. Lineage: Eukaryota; Viridiplantae; Streptophyta; Magnoliopsida; Malpighiales; Euphorbiaceae.